This 186-nucleotide ribosomal RNA is filed under the name Pseudidiomarina aestuarii. Its description in RNAcentral is "Idiomarina aestuarii partial 23S ribosomal RNA". It matches the Rfam family "Bacterial large subunit ribosomal RNA", at positions 2757 to 2925 of the family's 2925-position model. The record is from RNAcentral. Lineage: Bacteria; Pseudomonadati; Pseudomonadota; Gammaproteobacteria; Alteromonadales; Idiomarinaceae.
GGACAGGAUAACCGCUGAAAGCAUCUAAGCGGGAAGCCCCUUCCAAGAUGAGAUCUCCCUGAGGCCUUGAGCCUCCUGAAGAGCCGUUCAAGACCAGGACGUUGAUAGGUCGGGUGUGUAAGCGCUGCGAGGCGUUGAGCUAACCGAUACUAAUUGCUCGUGCGGCUUGACUAUAUAACACCCAAG